This is a long non-coding RNA of Poecilia latipinna (sailfin molly), 2313 nucleotides long. RefSeq lists it as uncharacterized. The transcript has 3 exons. The record is from RefSeq and is a predicted model, not a curated record. NCBI's taxonomy places the organism in Eukaryota, Metazoa, Chordata, Actinopteri, Cyprinodontiformes, Poeciliidae.
CCGAGAAACGGGUCUGUUAUACCAUCAGAUUCCUCUAUUUGUAACAGAUUUUUUUUGACAACUAUACAACUGGUUAUGAGUUGGACUUAUUUUACUCGGUAGGUUCUUUGAGUCUUGUUGUAAUUUGACGCCAUUUUAAGUAAAACUGCAUGGAUCCGAAUUAAAGAGAAGUAAAGCAUAGACUGAGAAAUCCUUUCCCAACAAAUUGGUGUUGAAUUCUGCAUCAGUUUCUAUGCUGAAAAGCUGGACCUAUUUCAGAGUGAAGACAAGCAUUAAUUUGACUCAUUCUAACCAGCAUAUUUUUUUUUCUGCUACUUUCCUGAAUUAGAUUCUGUUCAAUUUGGAGUUGUGGAUGCUUUCUCUCUGAAAAUAUUAGCUUCAUGGUGUGGGUUGUUUUCUUGUCUUCUUGGAAAUGCCAAAUGGUUUGCUUCAAUUGUUUGGCGAGAUCCUUCACCUGCUCAUGUUUUGGUCGAUUCAUAAUGUUUUCUUUGUAAUGGUUUUGGUCAGGUGUGAAAAGGGCAAAGUUUACAGCAUUUUCAAAGUAUGAUAUAUUUUGUCCUUGGAAAAUUUUAGGCAAAAUCUCCUUUACACUGACUUUUUCUUUAUGAGUCAGUGUUUUCUAGACAAUACAGUUCAUAAUGCAUGUCCAUUCUUCUAAGCUUUACCUCAGACUCCACUCUUGUAACUUCAAUUGCAAGAUGGGAGCAAGACAAAACUAUUUUUGAUAAUUCUGGCAACAGUGGUAUGUAGUGGUAUGACUUAUGUAGGGCCACAACAAAUGUAAGAAAAAUGGCGCAACUCAAACAAAUUUUAAAGAUAUUUCAAAACAAUCUUCCGUGUUGUGUUAUCCUGAAGAGAAGUGACAGCUAUGGUCACUUCGUCUAAAUUUGUAGACGACUCACAGCAUUUACACUGUGAAGCUGGAUUAUAAUCGCUUCCAAGUCAGAAUGUAACUUGACAUAAUGGGUUUAAAACCCAAAUAUGAAUAAACUGUUAUGUUGGAAAUAAAAACAGCAACAUUUUGAUGUGCUUAGAAGAACUUUACCAAAAAAUUUCCACCCAAAAAUAAAAAGCACUACCUUCCUACCAGCGUCUCUCUCUGUGUUUUUAUACUGGUAAAUGCAAUGAAAAAAAUCUGAAUCAAAAUUCCUUGUGGAGGAAAACACAAGGCAAUUGAAAAAUAAUCAUGCAUAAUAAUAAUAAAAUAAAAAAGGGUAUUAAUAAUGGAAAACCACCUUUCCUGGAAAAAGUUCCUGCAGAAAUAUGGCCUUAAAUGCACACUGAUGGGAAUCAGAGAAAUGAUCACUAAUGGAUUGUGCAGUUUUUUUUUACUUUAGAAAAAACUGUAAAUGUUUGUCCUAAUAAAGUUCAAUCACAUUCAACUGUGGUUCAUUUUAAAUAGGAAUGCUAAAUAAACCCUGUGACAUACAUGGGUACAUUUAAAAAUGGCCCUGGGUUGGAGCUCUCGCAUCGAAUCACAGUUGUCAUCAUAAUAUCAUCACGUGCAACAGCAAAGGACUCUCUGGAUGCGAUAUUUGGCACAGUAAUAUUUCAAGCGUGAUGCAUUUGCACGCUGUUUGCAAAAACCUGACUCACUGCUUGUGAUGCACAAAGUCAGAAUAAUUGUAAGUGAGAUGUCAAAGUUUGUGGCUAGCUGGUAGAAACUUCUUGAUGACAAUAAAGAACCAGAAAGAGGUGAGAAAUGCAAUUAAUUUGGAUUCGAUAAUAAAUAAAAACCGUUAAAUUGUAUCCAUCCCCUUAUAUGCAGACACCUGCUUUAUGUGCUUGAAAAGGUUGGAUAUGAAAAGAUCAAAGCUGCUAAUGUGAGGAGAGACCCUUCUUUAAAAAUACACACCAACAAAUAGACUCAAAGGAUUAGACCGUUCACAUCCUUGUUUGACCCUGCAGUCUUUACUUCAAGUGGUAUACAGGUGGGUGAUGCAACAUAACAAAGGUCUGCUGAGAAACAUUCAAAGGAACUUUGUGCAAGGAUAGUAGGAAAAGCACUAGAUACCCUGUUUUCAAUCAAAAGAUGCGUCAGAUAAUAAUUAAGAAAACCUUAAAGAAGACACUUUUUUGGUACCAAUAUCAAACAAGUCCACAAAUAAAAUGUUGCAUUUUGGUAGAUCUUCUGCCCUGUUGUCCUGUGUUCUAAUCCGCAACAUAAACAACACUGACUCUCAAUGUCACAUGUGGACUGCAGACUCUUGGCUCCGAUUAGCUUCUUACGGCAGCAGGGUAAGCGUGUGUGGAACCCACGUGGGGCCAGAGAGUAAUCUUUACUUAAAAAUGUCUGCAUGUUAAAUUCAUUUG